This 497-nucleotide ribosomal RNA is filed under the name uncultured bacterium. Its description in RNAcentral is "partial 16S ribosomal RNA". It matches the Rfam family "Bacterial small subunit ribosomal RNA", at positions 28 to 507 of the family's 1533-position model. The record is from RNAcentral.
GACGAACGCUGGCGGCGUGCCUAAUACAUGCAAGUUGAGCGAUGAAGAUGGGUGCUUGCCCCAAUUUGAAGAGCAGCGAACGGGUGAGUAACGCGUGGGGAAUCUGCCUUUGAGCGGGGGACAACAUUUGGAAACGAAUGCUAAUACCGCAUAAUAACUUUAAACAUAGGGUUUAAGGUUGAAAGAUGCAAUUGCAUCACUCAAAGCUGAUCCCGCGUUGUAUUAGCUAGUUGGGUAGGUAAAGGCUCACCAAGGGGAAGAUACAUAGCCGGCCUGGAAGGGAGGUCCGCCAAAAUGGGAAUUGGGAAAGGCCCCAAACUCCUAGGGGAGGAGGCGGAGGGGAAUUUUGGACAUUGAGGGAAGUCUGAACGAAGCACGCCGGGGGGGGGGAGGAAGGUCUUCGGUCGGUAAAGUCCGUUGGUUGGGGAGAAAGUUGAGUAGGGUGAUAAGCUCCUGUAGUGACGGUACCAACAGAGAAAGCGACGGCUAACUACGUG